AAUAGAUACCCGGGUAGUCCACGCCCUAAACGAUGCUCACUAGGUGUUGGGGAAGCGAUUCCUUGGUACCGUAGCUAACGCGUGAAGUGAGCCGCCUGGGGAGUACGGCCGUAAGGUUAAAACUCAAAGGAAUUGACGGGGACCCGCACAAGCGGUGGAUGAUGUGGAUUAAUUCGAUGCAACGCGAACAACCUUACCUACCUUUGACAUGUCCGGAAGCCUGCUGAAAGGUGGGUGUGCUCGAAAGAGAACCGGAACACAGGUGCUGCAUGGCUGUCGUCAGCUCGUGUCGUGAGAUGUUGGGUUAAGUCCCGCAACGAGCGCAACCCUUGUCCCUAGUUGCUACGCAAGGGCACUCUAGGGAGACUGCCGGUGACAAACCGGAGGAAGGUGGGGAUGACGUCAAGUCCUCAUGGCCCUUAUGGGUAGGGCUUCACACGUCAUACAAUGGACGGUACAGAGGGUUGCCAACCCGCGAGGGGGAGCCAAUCCCAGAAAGCCGUUCGUAGUCCGGAUCGCAGUCUGCAACUCGACUGCGUGAAGUCGG
This 547-nucleotide ribosomal RNA is filed under the name uncultured bacterium. RNAcentral's name for it is "bacterial SSU rRNA". It matches the Rfam family "Bacterial small subunit ribosomal RNA", at positions 777 to 1329 of the family's 1533-position model. The record is from RNAcentral.